Molecule: ribosomal RNA, 115 nt
Filed under: Caerostris extrusa
Lineage: Eukaryota; Metazoa; Arthropoda; Arachnida; Araneae; Araneidae
Source: RNAcentral
ACGGCCAUACCAUGCUGAAUAUACCGGUUCUUGUUAGAUCACCGAAGUCAAGCAUCAUCGGGCGCGGUCAGUACUUGGGUGGGUGACCACCUACACUAGGAAGCACCGCGUGCCG